Non-coding RNA from Drosophila melanogaster (fruit fly), 482 nucleotides. The record is from Ensembl. NCBI's taxonomy places the organism in Eukaryota, Metazoa, Arthropoda, Insecta, Diptera, Drosophilidae.
CUCUUAACAUUACCUUUGAAAUACCAAUAUUUUUGCAUCAAACAGGAACGUCUAUCUCUGUCCGUCGAGGAUGUUUUGAUUGACAGACGGCCCGUCGAAUUUCAGCCUUCAAUCGCAUUGUUCAAUCCGACAUUCCAACAUUCCGCACUCCCCAUUGUGUGGCAAUGUGGCCUUUUGGCCCAAUGCUGCCAAUUGUCCCGCCGCUGCACCUUUAUGGUCCAUUGCAUCCGGGCUGGGGCUCAAUGAAAUUUGCAGCAAAGCUGCUGAGCCAAUGGAAAAAACAGGAGCCGUCCAGAAUGCGGAUAAUAAAGUAGAAAUGAAAUGCAAUCAAAGAGCAGGCCAGAAAGCGCAACAGGCAAAGUGCUCACACAGCACACGCAAGCGGAAAUGCGAAUGGUGGCCAUUUUGUCCCCGUGUAGGUAGGCAGUGCUGCUAACGGUACCUUGUUGUUAUUUUACACUGAGAGAAAUGAAUGCUCGCUU